AAGCCGCCCUAGUUGACUUUGAAUAUAGAGAGAGUCGGUGACAGACAGAGAGUAAACCACGUUUUUGUCCUUUGUUAUAUAUCACUUCUUAGAUAUUAGCCAGGGCCUCUCCAAAUCCCAACAGACUUUUUAGGUCCCUUGUGCUCCUCCUCCACACGUGUAUUCCUUUUUCUAAAUUCUUUAGGCAUAUUACUACUCCACAGCUUAUUUUCUUUUUUUCUAUUUUCAGUUUAAACCAAUUAUGAUAUCUGUUAUACAUACUCUCACACAAUCUCUAUUG
Arabidopsis thaliana (thale cress) is the source of this 280-nucleotide long non-coding RNA. RefSeq annotates it as other RNA. NCBI's taxonomy places the organism in Eukaryota, Viridiplantae, Streptophyta, Magnoliopsida, Brassicales, Brassicaceae. The transcript has a single exon. The record is from RefSeq.